Molecule: long non-coding RNA, 375 nt
Organism: Suricata suricatta (meerkat)
Lineage: Eukaryota; Metazoa; Chordata; Mammalia; Carnivora; Herpestidae
Exons: 2
Source: RefSeq, a predicted model, not a curated record
GUGUUUGGGGCCAUUCUCUGCUCCUUAAGACCGGGGAGAUCAGGUGUAAUGGGUUAAGGAUAGAGGAAAGAUCAUACUGGAUGCGGGCCAGCCCCAAAUCCGACGAGAGUAUCCUUUUGAGGAGAGGCGGGGACACAAAGACACACACAGAGAAGGCCACGUGAAGAUGCCACAAGCCAGGCAACAUCUGGGGUCCCUGGGAUCUAAGAAGAGGCUGCGAAGAUCCUGCCCUAGAGCCUUAGACCGGAGCCUCGCACUGCUGGCUGACACCUCCACAGCCGUGAGACAUCCAUUUCUGUUGUCUUAAGCCCUCCCAGUUUGCGGCUCUUUGUCACAGCAGCCCGAGAAAACUAAUACACGUCAUCUGGUGCUUUA